RNAcentral lists this ribosomal RNA (405 nucleotides) under uncultured bacterium. Its description in RNAcentral is "bacterial SSU rRNA". It matches the Rfam family "Bacterial small subunit ribosomal RNA", at positions 335 to 755 of the family's 1533-position model. The record is from RNAcentral.
ACUCCUACGGGAGGCAGCAGUGGGGAAUAUUGCACAAUGGGCGCAAGCCUGAUGCAGCAACGCCGUGUGAGUGAAGAAGGUUUUCGGAUCGUAAAACUCUGUCCUAAGGGAAGAAACAAAUGACGGUACCUUAGGAGGAAGCCCCGGCUAACUACGUGCCAGCAGCCGCGGUAAUACGUAGGGGGCAAGCGUUAUCCGGAAUCACUGGGCGUAAAGGGUGCGUAGGCGGCUUAGCAAGCCAGGGGUGAAAGGCAUUGGCUCAACCAAUGUAAGCCUUUGGAACUGUUAAGCUUGAGUGCAGGAGAGGUAAGUGGAAUUCCUAGUGUAGAGGUGAAAUUCGUAGAUAUUAGGAGGAACACCAGUGGCGAAGGCGACUUACUGGACUGUAACUGACGCUGAUGCACG